AACGUAGGAGACGAACGUUAUCCGGAGUUACUGGGCGUAAAGGGCGUGUAGGCGGACUGCUAAGUCUGGCGUGAAAGCUCUCGGCUAAACCGGGAGAGGUCGUUGGAUACUGGCGGACUAGAGGGUGGUAGAGGCGUGUGGAAUUCCGGGUGUAGUGGUGAAAUGCGUAGAGAUCCGGAGGAACACCAGUGGCGAAGGCGACACGCUGGGCCAUACCUGACGCUAAAGCGCGACAGCAUGGGGAGCAAACGGGAUUAGAAACCCCUGUAGUCC
This 273-nucleotide ribosomal RNA is filed under the name uncultured bacterium. Its description in RNAcentral is "partial 16S ribosomal RNA". It matches the Rfam family "Bacterial small subunit ribosomal RNA", at positions 524 to 796 of the family's 1533-position model. The record is from RNAcentral.